UACGAAGGGGGGCUAGCGUUGCUCGGAAUGACUGGGCGUAAAGGGCGCGUAGGCGGAUGGCACAGUCAGAUGUGAAAUUCCCGGGCUUAACCUGGGGGCUGCAUUUGAUACGUGUUGUCUAGAGUGAGGAAGAGGGUUGUGGAAUUCCCAGUGUAGAGGUGAAAUUCGUAGAUAUUGGGAAGAACACCGGUGGCGAAGGCGGCUCUCUGGACCGAUACUGACGCUGAGGCGCGAAAGCGUGGGGAGCGAACAGG
This 254-nucleotide ribosomal RNA is filed under the name uncultured bacterium. RNAcentral's name for it is "partial 16S ribosomal RNA". It matches the Rfam family "Bacterial small subunit ribosomal RNA", at positions 524 to 776 of the family's 1533-position model. The record is from RNAcentral.